This is a long non-coding RNA of Cataglyphis hispanica, 1860 nucleotides long. RefSeq lists it as uncharacterized. NCBI's taxonomy places the organism in Eukaryota, Metazoa, Arthropoda, Insecta, Hymenoptera, Formicidae. The record is from RefSeq and is a predicted model, not a curated record. The transcript is spliced from 4 exons.
CUUGUGUAAGUAUAAUAUAUGGAUCUAUUACUUCACGCACGUUGUUGUGUAUUCAAAUGUUGGAAAGAAAGCAAAUAAUUUAAUUGUAAAAAUGCAAUUAAAACAAACAGAUUAUCACGUUAUCAUCAAAGUGAUGAAUUUGGCAUACAAGUAGAGAUGAUUAAUUGCGAAACUGCGGAGAAAAAGGUAUACGCCUUCGCGCUACGGUGGCUGAUAACGGCGGUGAAUUUGAUGCAAACACAGUGUGAUGCAGUUACGUUUCUAACGAGUAUGCGAGCAGACAACGACGACAACGACGACUACUCUCGCGACGGCAUAACGGCCGCAGCGGGACACAAAAGGGGAAAGAAGAAGAAAGCGUUGAAAUACACGUUGGAGAUACGCGCGCGAACCACGGAGGCUGCGCUCUUAUCUUCCGCUCCGCGAAUUUACUCCCGCACCGUUUAUUUUACGAUGACUGCUCUAUUUAUAUCCUACGAAUAUCUGAAUGACGGAUCGAUUCUUCGCGUUCUGCAUCCGUUCCAGAUAUCUGCUUUUCCUCUUUCCCUUCUCCUAUAAAAGGCACGAUGUACUUGCGAGCUUCGCGGAAAAAAGACCGUCAUAUGCGACGAAGAAGAAAAAAAGAAAAGGAAAGAGCGAGAGAGAGAAAGAGAGAGAGAGAGAAAGAGUGUGCACAAGUGAGAUGAAGGGAAAAAGGAUCAAGUUCCUUCUUCACGGUUUUCAACGGGAGUACGAAAUUACGUUCGGCGCGUAUUCGAGAGGGAGACACGCUAAAACGACGUCGACGUUUAUAACCCUUUGAUGUAUUUCGAGUCUUAUGCACCCUGCCGGAGCAAGCAAACGUCGAUCGAGUGCAAUUGGACUGCAUGGAUUGAAAAAAACGAUAAUAUCUGUCACUUGGCUGAUAUCAAAUCGAUCGCGCAUAACGAUCGGUUGGUCCAGUAUCUCGUGUAAACGCUCGAGGUUGAAACAUGACCGAAGCAUGCGAGAGAGAGAGAGAGAGAGAGAGAGAAAUCUCGUUACUAAAGAAAAAGGGAAAGAAAAGAAGAGAAAAAUGGAAAAAGGUCGUGACGGUGGCGCGAGAAUGGCAUCGAUUCUCGGCACUGCUGGUAUUUCAGUCUAACUCCGGAGCAGUUAAUUUCAUCUCUGUCUGUCUCUCUGUUUCUCUUCGUUUCUCCCGCGUUCUCGUCCCUACACAGGCGUAAAAAAGAACGACCGCAUGCCAUCUCAGGCAUUUCUUUGGUGAAAACUUAUCGAUUGCGAAGGAAUGUCCGUUGCGGAAGGAAAAACUCGGAAGAUAGGAAGCUGCAGAGAAGCAGCAUCUUAAUUCUCUGUGAAACUAAAUCGAGAAAAACAAAACACUGCAUUGAGAGCGACAAGUCACUUCAUCUGGAGGAAUCGUCGUUCGUUGUGCUGACGACGCUCCUCAAACAAGAGUACUUCCUUGAAAUCGUAAGCGGGAUACAAUCGAGAGCGCGCCGAGUAAUAUGAUCUUUCACAUCCGUCGAUCGCUCGAGCACAUCGUGUUUGUCAACCGUUCGGACAAAACAGGAAGAGAAACGAACGCGUGUCUCUCGACGAGCGAAACGAGAUAGAGAAAGAUACGGUCGUCGGAGGAGAUCACAGACGUCGGGUCACACAUCUGCGAAGCAGAAGGCAAACGACCGCGACAUGAUCGCGUUUCUCGCAAGUAGUCCGCAUCCGAUCGAUGCCGACGGCCCGGCAGUGACGGGACGCGUUCCCCGCAUCUUGCCGUCGGGAGCAUCAUACACACAUAAGCGCGCACUCAACACACACAAAAGAGUGUGUACAUACGUUGCGUACGCGUUGCAUCGCGACACAUUAUGCACAGAUGGUUGU